This 253-nucleotide ribosomal RNA is filed under the name uncultured bacterium. Its description in RNAcentral is "partial 16S ribosomal RNA". It matches the Rfam family "Bacterial small subunit ribosomal RNA", at positions 524 to 776 of the family's 1533-position model. The record is from RNAcentral.
UACAGAGGGUGCGAGCGUUGUCCGGAAUCACUGGGCGUAAAGCGCACGUAGGCGGACUCUUAAGUCGGGGGUGAAAUCCUGGAGCUCAACUCCAGAACUGCCUUCGAUACUGGCGAUCUUGAGUCCGGAAGAGGUGAGUGGAACUCCUAGUGUAGAGGUGGAAUUCGUAGAUAUUAGGAAGAACACCAGUGGCGAAGGCGGCUCACUGGUCCGGUACUGACGCUGAGGUGCGAAAGCGUGGGGAGCAAACAGG